Non-coding RNA from Nothobranchius furzeri (turquoise killifish), 303 nucleotides. NCBI's taxonomy places the organism in Eukaryota, Metazoa, Chordata, Actinopteri, Cyprinodontiformes, Nothobranchiidae. The record is from RefSeq and is a predicted model, not a curated record.
AAGGACUGGCCAUCUAGGGUUUGGAUGAGCUGUUGCCACAACACCACCAGGCACUUCAGCCCCUCUUUCUUCCUGGGAACCUUAAACAGGUGGAUGCAGACUUCGUGGUGGAGGCACUGGCUCCUCAGUACAGUGACAAUGGAUCAGUAAGACACAGAGGAAGUGGACAUGAUCAACUUUUUGCAGGACCUCUUGCAAAACCUGGAAGAAGGAGGAACAGAUGACCAAGAUGGGAGCCCAUCAGAUGGCUGUGGAGCAAAGCAGUUGUCAGUGCAAGGAUUUUUUCAGUGGGUUUCAGGCCAG